This 253-nucleotide ribosomal RNA is filed under the name uncultured bacterium. RNAcentral describes it as "partial 16S ribosomal RNA". It matches the Rfam family "Bacterial small subunit ribosomal RNA", at positions 524 to 776 of the family's 1533-position model. The record is from RNAcentral.
UACGUAGGGUGCAAGCGUUGUCCGGAAUUAUUGGGCGUAAAGAGCUCGUAGGCGGUCUGUCGCGUCUGCUGUGAAAACUCGGGGCUUAACCCCGGGCCUGCAGUGGGUACGGGCAGACUAGAGUGCGGUAGGGGAGACUGGAAUUCCUGGUGUAGCGGUGAAAUGCGCAGAUAUCAGGAGGAACACCUGCGGCGAAGGCGGGUUGCUGGGCUGACACUGACGCUGAUGCGCGAAAGCCAGGGGAGCGAACGGG